UGGGGAAUAUUGGACAAUGGGCGCAAGCCUGAUCCAGCCAUGCCGCGUGUGUGAAGAAGGCCUUUUGGUUGUAAAGCACUUUAAGCGAGGAGGAGGCUACUUGGAUUAAUACUCUAGGAUAGUGGACGUUACUCGCAGAAUAAGCACCGGCUAACUCUGUGCCAGCAGCCGCGGUAAUACAGAGGGUGCGAGCGUUAAUCGGAUUUACUGGGCGUAAAGCGUGCGUAGGCGGCUUCUUAAGUCGGAUGUGAAAUCCCUGAGCUUAACUUAGGAAUUACAUUCGAUACUGGGAAGCUAGAGUAUGGGAGAGGAUGGUAGAAUUCCAGGUGUAGCGGUGAAAUGCGUAGAGAACUGGAGGAAUACCGAUGGCGAAGGCAGCCAUCUGGCCUAAUACUGACGCUGAGGUACGAAAGCAUGGGGAGCAAACAGG
Molecule: ribosomal RNA, 430 nt
Filed under: bacterium
Lineage: Bacteria
Description: partial 16S ribosomal RNA
Rfam family: Bacterial small subunit ribosomal RNA
Source: RNAcentral